CGUGGUGUGUUUGCAUACUGGGGACAGCCACUCCUGGCUUUCUAUUUCCAAGCUUCUUUGCUAGUGCCUGGUGGCUAGGAUCCUGACCGUGAGCCCCACCAUCAGUGUGGCUGACGCCGCCCCCAGAGCAGCCCCACGGCGGAUGACCAGCUGUUUCACUGAUAGUCUGCUGGUAGGAGCUGAAAGGGCGUGGGCCUCCUCUGGAGUCCUGAAGAAGUCCACGUGGCACUCAGACCUUGAAUACGUUGUCAAGGUAAUGCCAGGGGAACUGCCUGUAGCCACUGCGGAAGCAAACAGGAGCAAACUCAGCAGGUCAGGGGUCAGAGGGAGAGCUUUGGCCUUGGAAUCGGGAAACCUAGGUUAACCACCUGGCUGUGUUUGUUACACCUCACAAGGGACGAUGCCUAUACAGUAGAAAAAUAACUGCUUUAUCUACUUUACAAGCAAGAUCAGAGGAGGAGAUAUGCAGGAAAGCAUCUUAAACUGUGAAUUUCACGUGCAGAUAAUGCUUACUACUAGGAUCUCAUGAGGAGUGUUCUUGUCAACGCUUGGCCCUGUGAUGAUCUGUGGCUUCAAAAGCACGUGGGAAACACAAUUAAUCAUGUCUUACCGUAUUCUCUCAUGACAACUUACGCUCCCAGAGUUUUAGCUGGCUCACUACUGCCCUGAUCAAGGAUUAGCCCAGGAUGGAUGAGGUCAUGGAGACAUCAUCUGUGUGAGCUUUGGGCCAUGUGCACACACGCCUGGCACUCAGGACCAGCCCUGGGGCAGAGCUGGGGCCAUCACUUCAUGACAUGGACACUGGGCACAAACCAGAGAGAUGUUUGUCUGCCUGAUGGGGUGGAGAGAGGUAGAUAGCAGGUGCCCCCCCAAAGCCAAUGAGUCAAGCCAGGCUGGCUGACAAGCCAGGCUCCCCACAAGUUAAAAGUUGGCCUUCCGUCUUGAGCAGAGUUCAGUGGGGGAGAUCAUGGGCUCUUGAAUCUGACGGGUUGAUGCGCAGAUCUUAUGUCUGGCCUUUACAAGUUGUGGGAUGAGGGAGGAAAUACCUAAGUUCUUUCAGCCUCACUUCCUCAUCUGAAAAUGGGCAUACAUCUAGUUGCCUCUCAAGGCCAAAGACUUGGUGUGGGGCCUGGUACUUGCAUGCCUGCUAGACAAUAGAUGUUGUUGUCUUCCUGGUGCUUAGGACAUCAUUUUCAUAAUAAUGGGAAGAAAAAUAGCUUGGGCUUGUACAAUUUCCAAUUGCAUGAGGCACAGAGGGCAGACAAGAGCAACAUGCCACUGACAUUUAUAUGUGUACCAAAGUAGAAGCAGCGGUGACAGUAUUACCUGAAGAUAGGACUGCUUUCUCAGGCCCAGGUCUGGUUGCAGUGCUCUCUGCUCUCUGCUGCUGCUGCCGGCCUGAAUGUUUCUUAGCCUAAAGGAGAAAGAACUCAAUUGGGUCAACCUGCCAGCUCAACAGUUCACCCCUUCACUGCUAGCCUCGCAUUCUCUGUUUUUAAAACAUUGCAAGCUGAAGCAGCAUAUAUGCAUGUAUUCAUAGUCAUGGGGCUUUUAGAAAGUAUCAUUUUAAGGCUGGGCAUGGUGGCUCACACCUGUAAUCCCAGCACUUUGGGAGGCCGAGGCGGGUGGAUUGCUGGAGCUCAGGAAUUCAAGGCCAGUCUGGGCAAUAUAGUGAAACCCUGUCUCUACCAAAAAUACUAAAAAAUUAGCUGGGCAUGGUGGCGCAUGUCUGUAGUCCCAGCUACUCAGGAGGCUGAGGCAGGAGAACCUCUUGACCCCAGGAGGCAGAGGUUGCAUUGAGCCGAGAUUGUACCACUGCAUUCCAUCCUGGG
Molecule: long non-coding RNA, 1832 nt
Filed under: Homo sapiens (human)
Lineage: Eukaryota; Metazoa; Chordata; Mammalia; Primates; Hominidae
Description: HSALNT0238368
Source: RNAcentral